UACGUAGGGGGCUAGCGUUGUCCGGAAUCAUUGGGCGUAAAGCGCGUGUAGGCGGUCCGGUAAGUCUGCUGUGAAAGUCGGGGGCUCAACCCUCGGAUGCCGGUGGAUACUGUCGGGCUUGAGUACGGAAGAGGCGAGUGGAAUUCCUGGUGUAGCGGUGAAAUGCGCAGAUAUCAGGAGGAACACCAAUUGCGAAGGCAGCUCGCUGGGACGUUACUGACGCUGAGACGCGAAAGCGUGGGGAGCAAACAGG
Molecule: ribosomal RNA, 253 nt
Filed under: uncultured bacterium
Lineage: Bacteria
Description: partial 16S ribosomal RNA
Rfam family: Bacterial small subunit ribosomal RNA
Source: RNAcentral